Molecule: non-coding RNA, 28 nt
Filed under: Homo sapiens (human)
Lineage: Eukaryota; Metazoa; Chordata; Mammalia; Primates; Hominidae
Source: RNAcentral
UCAGGCACUGAGAAGGCAGAGGUGCCAC